AGAGUUUGAUCCUGGCUCAGGACGAACGCUGGCGGCGCGCCUAACACAUGCAAGUCGAACGGGGUUGAGAGGAGCUUGCUUUUCUUGACUUAGUGGCGAACGGGUGAGUAACGCGUGAGGAACCUGCCUCAAAGAGGGGGACAACAGUUGGAAACGACUGCUAAUACCGCAUAAGCCCACGGGGCCGCAUGGCCCUGAGGGAAAAGGAGCAAUCCGCUUUGAGAUGGCCUCGCGUCCGAUUAGCUGGUUGGUGAGGUAACGGCCCACCAAGGCGACGAUCGGUAGCCGGACUGAGAGGUUGAACGGCCACAUUGGGACUGAGACACGGCCCAGACUCCUACGGGAGGCAGCAGUGGGGAAUAUUGCACAAUGGGGGAAACCCUGAUGCAGCGACGCCGCGUGGAGGAAGAAGGUCUUCGGAUUGUAAACUCCUGUUGUUGGGGAAAAGAAGGAUGGUACCCAACAAGGAAGUGACGGCUAACUACGUGCCAGCAGCCGCGGUAA
RNAcentral lists this ribosomal RNA (504 nucleotides) under uncultured bacterium. Its description in RNAcentral is "bacterial SSU rRNA". It matches the Rfam family "Bacterial small subunit ribosomal RNA", at positions 8 to 523 of the family's 1533-position model. The record is from RNAcentral.